ACUUUCUUAGUACAAACAAUACCAAUGAUUUCCACUCAUUAAAUCUUAGUAAUAUCUAAGAGAAAGUA
Molecule: transfer RNA, 68 nt
Filed under: Boulengerula taitana (Taita Mountains caecilian)
Lineage: Eukaryota; Metazoa; Chordata; Amphibia; Gymnophiona; Herpelidae
Description: tRNA-Gly
Source: RNAcentral